GUCCUUUUCAGUAUUCACAGUAGAAUUUUGAGAGAUGGAUUUAAUGAGCCCUAGCUUCCAUUUUGGGGUAUUAUAACAGUUUGGCUGUUCAAAAACCCCCCACAAAGGCCUACCAUUUGUAAAAGUAGACACUCCAGGGUAUCUUACAAGGUGCAUAUUGUGCCUUAACAUGCCCCCAUUUUUUCACCAAUAUAUGCCAAAGUAUGUGGUAAAAAAUAAUUUUGUGCAUUUUUUACAUACGGAUUGCAUUUUUGCUGGGCGUUUUGUAUAUUUCAUAUGUGCCACUAAGUUCAAAC
Molecule: non-coding RNA, 296 nt
Organism: Pelobates cultripes (western spadefoot toad)
Lineage: Eukaryota; Metazoa; Chordata; Amphibia; Anura; Pelobatidae
Source: the annotation of a GenBank genome assembly